GGGGAUGUAGCUCAAUGGUAGAGUCUCUGAUUGGGAAUGCGGAAGUUUCCUGGUUCAAUCUCAGGCAUCUCCA
This 73-nucleotide transfer RNA is filed under the name Sphaerodactylus townsendi. Its description in RNAcentral is "tRNA-Pro". It matches the Rfam family "tRNA". From Rfam's summary of the family: Transfer RNA (tRNA) molecules are approximately 80 nucleotides in length. The record is from RNAcentral. Lineage: Eukaryota; Metazoa; Chordata; Lepidosauria; Squamata; Sphaerodactylidae.